AUUGAACGCUGGCGGCAUGCCUUACACAUGCAAGUCGAACGGCAGCACGGGUGCUUGCACCUGGUGGCGAGUGGCGAACGGGUGAGUAAUACAUCGGAACAUGUCCUGUAGUGGGGGAUAGCCCGGCGAAAGCCGGAUUAAUACCGCAUACGAUCCACGGAUGAAAGCGGGGGACCUUCGGGCCUCGCGCUAUAGGGUUGGCCGAUGGCUGAUUAGCUAGUUGGUGGGGUAAAGGCCUACCAAGGCGACGAUCAGUAGCUGGUCUGAGAGGACGACCAGCCACACUGGGACUGAGACACGGCCCAGACUCCUACGGGAGGCAGCAGUGGGGAAUUUUGGACAAUGGGCGAAAGCCUGAUCCAGCAAGGCCGCGUGUGUGAAGAAGGCCUUCGGGUUGUAAAGCACUUUUGUCCGGAAAGAAAUCCUUGACCCUAAUACAGUCGGGGGAUGACGGUACCGGAAGAAUAAGCACCGGCUAACUACGUG
RNAcentral lists this ribosomal RNA (486 nucleotides) under uncultured bacterium. Its description in RNAcentral is "partial 16S ribosomal RNA". It matches the Rfam family "Bacterial small subunit ribosomal RNA", at positions 30 to 507 of the family's 1533-position model. The record is from RNAcentral.